GUGUAAGUAUAAAUUACUUUGUAUUAUGAAAUUGCAAAUGACUCAUCAAAUUAGUAAUAGAUGGUACCUUACUACUUAGAUAACUAUAGUAAUUCUAGAGCUAAUACAUGUAAAGAGUCCUGACCUCUAGAAGGGAUACACUUACUAGAUUCAAGGUUAAUCUGGGCUCAUUUGUAUUCUUGGUGAUUCAUGGUAAAUUGUUGAAUUGCAUGGCUUUUAUAUUGAUGAUGCUUCAAUCAAAUUUUUGCCUUAUCAACUUUCAAUGGUAUAGGGGGUUGGGGGGCUGGGCACCAGAUGACCCACUCCUCGAUAUAGAG
Molecule: non-coding RNA, 317 nt
Filed under: Selaginella moellendorffii
Lineage: Eukaryota; Viridiplantae; Streptophyta; Lycopodiopsida; Selaginellales; Selaginellaceae
Description: Eukaryotic small subunit ribosomal RNA
Rfam family: Eukaryotic small subunit ribosomal RNA
Source: Rfam by way of RNAcentral